GAUGAACGCUGGCGGCGUGCCUAAUACAUGCAAGUCGAGCGAACAGACAAGGAGCUUGCUCCUUUGACGUUAGCGGCGGACGGGUGAGUAACACGUGGGUAACCUACCUAUAAGACUGGGAUAACUUCGGGAAACCGGAGCUAAUACCGGAUAAUAUUUCGAACCGCAUGGUUCGAUAGUGAAAGAUGGUUUUGCUAUCACUUAUAGAUGGACCCGCGCCGUAUUAGCUAGUUGGUAAGGUAACGGCUUACCAAGGCGACGAUACGUAGCCGACCUGAGAGGGUGAUCGGCCACACUGGAACUGAGACACGGUCCAGACUCCUACGGGAGGCAGCAGUAGGGAAUCUUCCGCAAUGGGCGAAAGCCUGACGGAGCAACGCCGCGUGAGUGAUGAAGGUCUUCGGAUCGUAAAACUCUGUUAUUAGGGAAGAACAUACGUGUAAGUAACUAUGCACGUCUUGACGGUACCUAAUCAGAAAGCCGCGGCUAACUACGUGCCAGCAGCCGCGGUAAUACGUAGGUGGCAAGCGUUAUCCGGAAUUAUUGGGCGUAAAGCGCGCGUAGGCGGUUUUUUAAGUCUGAUGUGAAAGCCCACGGCUCAACCGUGGAGGGUCAUUGGAAACUGGAAAACUUGAGUGCAGAAGAGGAAAGUGGAAUUCCAUGUGUAGCGGUGAAAUGCGCAGAGAUAUGGAGGAACACCAGUGGCGAAGGCGACUUUCUGGUCUGUAACUGACGCUGAUGUGCGAAAGCGUGGGGAUCAAACAGGAUUAGAUACCCUGGUAGUCCACGCCGUAAACGAUGAGUGCUAAGUGUUAGGGGGUUUCCGCCCCUUAGUGCUGCAGCUAACGCAUUAAGCACUCCGCCUGGGGAGUACGACCGCAAGGUUGAAACUCAAAGGAAUUGACGGGGACCCGCACAAGCGGUGGAGCAUGUGGUUUAAUUCGAAGCAACGCGAAGAACCUUACCAAAUCUUGACAUCCUUUGACAACUCUAGAGAUAGAGCUUUCCCCUUCGGGGGACAAAGUGACAGGUGGUGCAUGGUUGUCGUCAGCUCGUGUCGUGAGAUGUUGGGUUAAGUCCCGCAACGAGCGCAACCCUUAAGCUUAGUUGCCAUCAUUAAGUUGGGCACUCUAAGUUGACUGCCGGUGACAAACCGGAGGAAGGUGGGGAUGACGUCAAAUCAUCAUGCCCCUUAUGAUUUGGGCUACACACGUGCUACAAUGGACAAUACAAAGGGCAGCGAAACCGCGAGGUCAAGCAAAUCCCAUAAAGUUGUUCUCAGUUCGGAUUGUAGUCUGCAACUCGACUACAUGAAGCUGGAAUCGCUAGUAAUCGUAGAUCAGCAUGCUACGGUGAAUACGUUCCCGGGUCU
RNAcentral lists this ribosomal RNA (1372 nucleotides) under uncultured bacterium. RNAcentral describes it as "bacterial SSU rRNA". It matches the Rfam family "Bacterial small subunit ribosomal RNA", at positions 28 to 1381 of the family's 1533-position model. The record is from RNAcentral.